AAUGACAACACAAGCGCCGCGCGGGACUUUUUAAAACGUCUGGAUGGAUUUCGCUGCAGCGAUCACUCAACUGUCGUGUGUGUGUGUGAGAGAGAGAGAAUGUGUGCACGCAGAUAUAAGAAGUUGGGGUUGAUGAUCCACAUGAUGGUGAUGGACCAGGACAGCUCUGGACCUCCUGACUGGCAGCUCCAUCCUCAACAUCUCUUCCUGCCCUUCACACAUGUGCAGGCAGCCAGUUUUCUGAAAGAUGGUUGAUGUCAGUACGAACAUGUUGUGAUGGAGGCUUCCACCUGAGCUGAACACAGAAACUUGCACACAGUGAUGGAAGCAGUCGUUCUUGUUCAGCAUCGAUAUGCCAGUAAUGGGUUUGAUGAGCCA
Long non-coding RNA from Engraulis encrasicolus (European anchovy), 378 nucleotides. RefSeq lists it as uncharacterized. The record is from RefSeq and is a predicted model, not a curated record. Lineage: Eukaryota; Metazoa; Chordata; Actinopteri; Clupeiformes; Engraulidae. The transcript is spliced from 4 exons.